UCACACUUCUUGUUUCUCUGCACAGCUACGACAGUAAAUUGACUCACUGUACAAGACCUCCCCCCUUCACUCUACUGCAGGGUGGGAGAUGCAACAAUGUCCUUGAGAACAGCAGGAAGUGUGUUGGGGGUCUUUCUCUGGUCUGUAGCAGGUAUGUGGUCUGUAGCAGCUCUCUCUCCAGAGUGUCCAUCCUGACCCUAACUGUGACACACACACCACUGAAAAUGAGGACCAGACACUCUGGCAGUAGUGUGAAAAUCCCCCACAGUGACACGUUCACAUCUCUUCAGAGAGACUCUCAGCACUCCGUAUAUCAGACCAUCCAGGGGAGAAAACCACCACAGAACCUGGACUGAUAGAACCACCACAGAACCUGGAGGGAAGAGAACCACCACUGAACCUGGAGGGAAGAGAACCACCACUGAACCUGGAGGAAGGAGAACUACCACAGAACCUGGACUGAAGAGAACCAUCACAGAACCUGGAUGGAAGAGAACCACCACAGAACCUGCAGAGAAGAGAACCACCACAGAACCUGGAGAGAAGAGAACCACCACAGAACCUGGAGAGAAGAGAACCACCACAGAACCUGGAGGGAAGAGAACCACCACAGAACCUGGAGAGAAGAGAACCACCACAGAACCUGGAUUAAAGAGCUAUGGCACCAAACCAAAGCUAGUCCUUACACUCUAUUCUCUUGCUAAUAUAUUGUUAUAAUAUAAUGAAGGUUCACCCAAGUUACAAAAUGACACAUUGGUUUCCCUUCCCUUUUAGCAGUCUAUGAACAUGGUGACAUCAGUCCCUGCUUUGGUUUAGUUUCCCCUGACACUGUUUCCACCUGCUAACGUUUUAGCAUUCGUGGCACAAAUCCCAUUCGUCAUGUGACUGAUAAGAGGCAUUUCUCGCACAUCAUUUCGAAAUCAAUCAAAAGUUUAAAAAAAUGUGUUGUGAAGGUCAACAAAGUCACUUCUAGAUGAUUUGAACAUGAUGAGAGAAAUCUUAAUAUCAGUCCCGUGACUUGAAUGGGAUUUUUCUAAAUGUGGGAGUGUUUGACAUAGUAGCUGACUUUAUAGGCAAGUCGAGAUCUACAAAUCACCUUGCAUGAUGAAUAACUACUCAAUAUUAUUUAUAGAUCAUUCAGUCAGUCACAAUUUACCCAUAAUACAUCAGUUUUGAUGUUCUCGAACACUGUCUGAGUGACUGCUGAAGGAAGCCUUCUCUGCAUAAGCUUCUUGGUCCCUGACAUAGAGUUGGAUAGAAGGUACAUCUUGACAUCUUUGUCAUGAUGUCUUCUGUGACAGAAUGAGCAGCACCAUUGAGGGCUAUUUCCAUAUUAAAGUAGUUAAUAUCUUCAACUUCCAUAAGUUUAAUAACAGUCGGUAUACCAACUGAAAUGGUGUAUUCAAUGGCUUUAGUCAUGCUAAAAUGGGCUUUGAAGCAAGUACGCCCUCUAUUCAACUCUAUUGUCCCUGACUGCUUCAAUGUUGUGUCAACCAGACUUCAAACCUCACACUCAGUGUCUAUUUACAUAGACUUCCAGUAAGUUAACUUGCAACACAUCUCCCCUUCACUCUGUUUUCACUCACUACCAGACAGUUGACUCACUGUACAAGACCUCUCCUCUUCACUUCACUCUACUGCAGGGUGGGAGAUGCAACAAUGGCCUUGAGAACAGCAGGAAGUGUGUUGGUGGUCUUUCUCUGGUCUGUGACAG
Molecule: long non-coding RNA, 1714 nt
Organism: Oncorhynchus masou masou (cherry salmon)
Lineage: Eukaryota; Metazoa; Chordata; Actinopteri; Salmoniformes; Salmonidae
Exons: 6
Source: RefSeq, a predicted model, not a curated record